Molecule: ribosomal RNA, 263 nt
Filed under: uncultured bacterium
Lineage: Bacteria
Description: partial 16S ribosomal RNA
Rfam family: Bacterial small subunit ribosomal RNA
Source: RNAcentral
UACAACGAGUCGCAAGACCGCGAGGUUUAGCAAAUCUCUUAAAGCCGUUCUCAGUUCGGAUUGUAGGCUGCAACUCGCCUACAUGAAGUCGGAAUCGCUAGUAAUCGCGGAUCAGCAUGCCGCGGUGAAUACGUUCCCGGGCCUUGUACACACCGCCCGUCACACCAUGAGAGUUUGUAACACCCAAAGCCGGUGGGGUAACCUUUUGGAGCCAGCCGUCUAAGGUGGGACAGAUGAUUGGGGUGAAGUCGUAACAAGGUAAC